GAUGAACGCUAGCGGGAGGCUUAACACAUGCAAGUCGAGGGGCAGCAUAGGGUAGCAAUACUCUGAUGGCGACCGGCAAACGGGUGAGUAACGCGUAUGCAACCUACCCUGUACAGGGGGAUAACCCGGAGAAAUUCGGACUAAUAUCCCGUAAUAAUAUCCGGAGGCAUCUUUGGAUAUUUAAAGUUCCGACGGUACGGGAUGGGCAUGCGUAACAUUAGCUGGUUGGUAAGGUAACGGCUUACCAAGGCUAUGAUGUUUAGGGGUCCUGAGAGGGUGGUCCCCCACACUGGUACUGAGACACGGACCAGACUCCUACGGGAGGCAGCAGUGAGGAAUAUUGGUCAAUGGGCGCAAGCCUGAACCAGCCAUCCCGCGUGCAGGAAGACGGCCCUAUGGGUUGUAAACUGCUUUUCCAGGGAGAGAAACUUACGCACGUGUUGCGUGACUGACGGUACCCUGGGAAUAAGCAUCGGCUAACUCCGUGCAAGCAGCCGCGGUAAACACGAGAGUA
Molecule: ribosomal RNA, 514 nt
Filed under: uncultured bacterium
Lineage: Bacteria
Description: bacterial SSU rRNA
Rfam family: Bacterial small subunit ribosomal RNA
Source: RNAcentral